Molecule: ribosomal RNA, 676 nt
Filed under: Candidatus Mycoplasma haematolamae
Lineage: Bacteria; Bacillati; Mycoplasmatota; Mollicutes; Mycoplasmatales; Mycoplasmataceae
Description: bacterial SSU rRNA
Rfam family: Bacterial small subunit ribosomal RNA
Source: RNAcentral
GAGGAAUUUUUCACAAUGGGCGAAAGCCUGAUGGAGCAAUACCACGUGAACGAUGAAGGUCUUCUGAUUGUAAAGUUCUUUUAUUUAGGAAAAAAAGCAGGAUAGGAAAUGAUUCUGUCGUGAUUGUACUAAUUGAAUAAGUGACAGCUAACUAUGUGCCAGCAGCUGCGGUAAAACAUAGGUCACGAGCAUUAUCCGGAUUUAUUGGGCGUAAAGGAAGCGUAGGUGGAGGAGUUGAUCCAUUGUCAAAAGCAUCUGCUUAACAGGUGUCCGCGAUGGAUAUCGCUUCUCUAGAAUUAGUUAGGGGGUACUGGAAUUCAAUGUGUAGCGGUGGAAUGCGUAGAUAUAUUGAGGAACACCAGAGGCUAAGGCGAGUACCUGGGACAUAAUUGACACUGAGGCUUGAAAGCGUGGGGAGCAAAUGGGAUUAGAUACCCCAGUAGUCCACGCCGUAAACGAUGGGUAUUAGGUAUUUGGUUUAAAACUGAGUGCUGUAGCUAACGCGUUAAAUACCCCGCCUGGGUAGUAUAUAUGCAAAUAUGAAACUCAAAGAAAUUGACGGGGACCUGAACAAGUGGUGGAGCAUGUUGCUUAAUUCGAUAAUACACGCAAAACCUUACCAAGGCUUGUAAUCUACUGCGAAACUAUAGAAAUAUAGUGGAGGNUAUCGGUAUGC